UUACGGCUAUAUCACGUUGAAACGCCGGUUCCCGUACGAUCACCGAAGUUAAGCAACGUCAAGCCUGCUCAGUAUCUAGAUGGCUUGGGAAUACCAGGUGACGUAGG
Acanthosepion pharaonis is the source of this 107-nucleotide non-coding RNA. NCBI's taxonomy places the organism in Eukaryota, Metazoa, Mollusca, Cephalopoda, Sepiida, Sepiidae. The record is from the annotation of a GenBank genome assembly.